This 253-nucleotide ribosomal RNA is filed under the name uncultured bacterium. RNAcentral's name for it is "partial 16S ribosomal RNA". It matches the Rfam family "Bacterial small subunit ribosomal RNA", at positions 524 to 776 of the family's 1533-position model. The record is from RNAcentral.
UACAGAGGGUGCGAGCGUUAAUCGGAAUUACUGGGCGUAAAGCGCACGUAGGCGGCUUGGUAUGUCGGGUGUGAAAUCCCCGGGCUCAACCUGGGAACUGCAUCCGAAACUGCCUUGCUCGAGUAUGGGAGAGGGAAGUGGAAUUUCCGGUGUAGCGGUGAAAUGCGUAGAUAUCGGAAGGAACAUCAGUGGCGAAGGCGACUUCCAGGACCAAUACUGACGCUCAGGUGCGAAAGCGUGGGGAGCAAACAGG